CUACGUGCCAGCAGCCGCGGUAAUACGUAGGUCCCGAGCGUUGUCCGGAUUUAUUGGGCGUAAAGCGAGCGCAGGCGGUUUGAUAAGUCUGAAGUUAAAGGCUGUGGCUCAACCAUAGUUCGCUUUGGAAACUGUCAAACUUGAGUGCAGAAGGGGAGAGUGGAAUUCCAUGUGUAGCGGUGAAAUGCGUAGAUAUAUGGAGGAACACCGGUGGCGAAAGCGGCUCUCUGGUCUGUAACUGACGCUGAGGCUCGAAAGCGUGGGGAGCGAACAGGAUUAGAUACCCUGGUAGUCCACGCCGUAAACGAUGAGUGCUAGGUGUUGGAUCCUUUCCGGGAUUCAGUGCCGCAGCUAACGCAUUAAGCACUCCGCCUGGGGAGUACGACCGCAAGGUUGAAACUCAAAGGAAUUGACGGGGGCCCGCACAAGCGGUGGAGCAUGUGGUUUAAUUCGAAGCAACGCGAAGAACCUUACCAGGUCUUGACAUCCCUCUGACCGCUCUAGAGAUAGAGUUUUCG
Molecule: ribosomal RNA, 518 nt
Filed under: uncultured bacterium
Lineage: Bacteria
Description: bacterial SSU rRNA
Rfam family: Bacterial small subunit ribosomal RNA
Source: RNAcentral